GGGCACGGGGGGAGGAAAGCAGGGGAUCGUAAGACCUUGCGCUAUUGGAUGAGCCGAAGUCGGAUUAGCUAGUUGGUGAGGUAACGGCUCACCAAGGCGACAAUCCGUAGCUGGUCUGAGAGGACGACCAGCCACACUGGGACUGAGACACGGCCCAGACUCCUACGGGAGGCAGCAGUGGGGAAUAUUGGACAAUGGGGGCAACCCUGAUCCAGCGACGCCGCGUGUGUGAAGAAGGCCUGCGGGUUGUAAAGCACUUUUAGUGGGGAUGAAAAGCUCAGGGCUAAUACCUCUGGGUCUUGACCUAACCUACAGAAAAAGCACCGGCUAACUCUGUGCCAGCAGCCGCGGUAAUACAGAGGGUGCGAGCGUUAAUCGGAAUUACUGGGCGUAAAGCGUGCGUAGACGGUUUCGUAAGUCG
RNAcentral lists this ribosomal RNA (421 nucleotides) under uncultured bacterium. Its description in RNAcentral is "bacterial SSU rRNA". It matches the Rfam family "Bacterial small subunit ribosomal RNA", at positions 188 to 590 of the family's 1533-position model. The record is from RNAcentral.